RNAcentral lists this ribosomal RNA (429 nucleotides) under Bacteroidota bacterium. RNAcentral's name for it is "Bacteroidetes bacterium partial 16S ribosomal RNA". It matches the Rfam family "Bacterial small subunit ribosomal RNA", at positions 355 to 776 of the family's 1533-position model. Lineage: Bacteria; Pseudomonadati; Bacteroidota. The record is from RNAcentral.
CAGGGAAUCUUCCGCAAUGGACGCAAGUCUGACGGAGCAACGCCGCGGGAGUGAAGAAGGAUUUCGGUUCGUAAAACUCUGUUGUUAGAGAAGAACAGCGCAUAGAGUAACUGUUAUGCGUGUGACGGUAUCUAACCAGAAAGCCACGGCUAACUACGUGCCAGCAGCCGCGGUAAUACGUAGGUGGCAAGCGUUGUCCGGAUUUAUUGGGCGUAAAGCGAGCGCAGGCGGUCAAUUAAGUCUGAUGUGACAGCCCCCGGCUCAACCGGGGAGGGUCAUUGGAAACUGGUUGACUUGAGUGCAGAAGAGGAGAGUGGAAUUCCGUGUGUAGCGGUGAAGUGCGUAGAUAUGUGGAGGAACACCAGUGGCGAAGGCGAGUCUGUGGUCUGUAACUGACGCAGAGGUUCGAAAGCGUGGGUAGCAAACAGG